This 253-nucleotide ribosomal RNA is filed under the name uncultured bacterium. RNAcentral describes it as "partial 16S ribosomal RNA". It matches the Rfam family "Bacterial small subunit ribosomal RNA", at positions 524 to 776 of the family's 1533-position model. The record is from RNAcentral.
UACGUAGGGGGCUAGCGUUGUCCGGAAUCAUUGGGCGUAAAGCGCGUGUAGGCGGUUCGGUAAGUCCGCUGUGAAAGUCGGGGGCUCAACCCUCGAAAGCCGGUGGAUACUGUCGGGCUAGAGUACGGAAGAGGCGAGUGGAAUUCAUGGUGUAGCAGUGAAAUGCGUAGAGAUCAUGAGGAAGACCAGUGGCGAAGGCGGGUCUCUGGACAGUUCCUGACACUGAGACACGAAGGCCAGGGGAGCAAACGGG